Molecule: long non-coding RNA, 827 nt
Organism: Rhea pennata
Lineage: Eukaryota; Metazoa; Chordata; Aves; Rheiformes; Rheidae
Exons: 5
Source: RefSeq, a predicted model, not a curated record
UGCGCCCGAUGCCUUUUGUCCACCAGGUCUCCUCCGUUUUAGAGGUCGUUUCCUUAGGAAAAAGUCAGCCAGAGCCUUCAGAAGAGGUCACUCCGAAGUCCAAGGAUACUUUAUGGUAAAGCUCAGAGCAGCUGAUCAGAUGCAGGGGAUGCCUGGAACGGGGAACUGAAAUUCUCUUUCUAAUGGAAGAGCUGUACCAGAUAGCCCUAUCUUACAGCACAGCCAUAUAAAAUGUCAGUCCUCAGCAGAGCUAUGUGAAAUUUUUUCUGAUCCAGUGGCCACGUUUUGAACUCCCACCGCUGUCGUCACUGAAAGGAGACAGAAACCAAGCAAGCAGAGAAACUAUUCACCAGGCCUGGAAUGGUGGUAGUCACCAGCAGCACACAAGAAAUCCCCUUUUCCAGAGAUGUCGACCCAUGUACCAGACCCCACUUCCCAAGGAGAGUCUCUGCUGCAGGAAAAAUAUCUUAAUUGGAGAGAUAAGAGGCAGAACAAGCUCUUGCAAUGCGUACAGCAUCUACCAGCACAGACCCUGCGGCAACAAAGCCAAGCAAUGCUUAACCAAGUUCAGCUUUUACUCGACUUCCCAGAUGAGGAUGGAUACCGAUUCCACACGAGAGCCAUAAAGACCAGUGAAUCCUCUCACCCCCGGGAAAGAAAUACUGGUUCUAACUGAGACUGGCUGGAAAUGCACUUAUUUUAACUUUAGUUUUUCCUAGUUGUCUAAAAAGAUCACACUGUACUUGCUUAAACAAAACAUUUAAAAACGCUGUUGUCAUCCAUUCUAUUCCUUCUGUAGCUGGACACUUUGUUGUUUUAUAAUAAAC